CAAAUCCAGGAGAGUGUCUUGGACAAAAGCACAAAAGAAAAAAUAUAUGCAGUCAAACAGUAUUAUCUCCACACCAUAGAAAGAAGAUACGUUUCCCACUUUACUAUAUGAUCAUCCCCAAAUAGAGAUCAUGGAAAAGACUAAUUUUUGCCCUUUGAAAAACACCCAAUUAAUUGUUGAAUAACCAUAAAGUGAUAAAAAGCAAAAAGGAAAUGAAUUCCUAAGAACUUAUCUGAAUUUCCCAUAAAACAACAAAAGAACUAAGACAGACAAGUUGAAA
Hibiscus syriacus is the source of this 280-nucleotide long non-coding RNA. RefSeq lists it as uncharacterized. The transcript is spliced from 3 exons. The record is from RefSeq and is a predicted model, not a curated record. Lineage: Eukaryota; Viridiplantae; Streptophyta; Magnoliopsida; Malvales; Malvaceae.